This is a long non-coding RNA of Branchiostoma belcheri (Belcher's lancelet), 1156 nucleotides long. RefSeq lists it as uncharacterized. The transcript has 2 exons. NCBI's taxonomy places the organism in Eukaryota, Metazoa, Chordata, Leptocardii, Amphioxiformes, Branchiostomatidae. The record is from RefSeq and is a predicted model, not a curated record.
UAGUAUUGCCUCGUUUUUCCCACAGAAUCUACUUGCAGGUUAAAGAUUAUUUUGUUUUCAACUUAUAAUUGCCGUACAAAAUUAUAUCAGAUUUGGCAUAAUUUGAUGGUUUAGAUUAGAAUGUGAGAAUGGCAAAUUUAUAUUGACCUGUUAGCAGAGAUAAUGACUCGGAUGUUGUUAGUUAACAUUAAUGUCAAUACCACAAAAGAAAGAUCAGUUAUCCAGAUGAUGACACUAAUUACAUGUAACAAGUUACAUGCUACAUAUCCUAAAUCAUAGUUCAUACAUGCAUUCAUUACCAUAUCUCUAGUAACAAUAUCAGUUUGAAAGUAACUUCAGUUUAUCCAAUCUAUCGUGCUUGGGGCAGGCUGUCUUCGGGGCUCUAAUAGUUUUCCCCCUGUCCAGCUCAACAGACCGCCCGGUAUAUUUGAAUCAUAUGCCGCACACCAGGAGUUGAUCCGCCCCUCCACAAUCGAGCUUCAGCAGACCUGAAGAAAACCCGCCCAGCCACCUGGAUACCAGGUGCCAGACGUCAACAUACAGCUGAACUGUGGAUACCAGAAAGCAGACCACACUGGGCCACCUCAAAGUCCUGGCUAGCUUCUCAAAGCUCAGUUCCUGGUAGGAACUGAGCUUUGAGAAAACAAUGGCAAUGAAAAUUUGUGGAAACAAAUGCAAUUUAUAGUACUGUCACAGGUGUGAAUUAUUGUCUUAUGACUACUGUAUGUGAUCACAUAUUAUUUCCCAAGAACUACUGAUACUUGUAACCUUAAGCCAGCAUUUUCAUUGUCAGUUUUUGUAUGAAUAUGAACAGAUUAAGAAGUUCUUCAGUAAUUCAUACGUACAUGUGUUGAGGUGCCUUCUCAUAGUUAUUGUUAUUAUAUUCAAUUAUAGAAACAUGUUUCGUUCCACCGAGAUAGAUAACAUAACUACAAAAAUUAUAUAACAUUCUGAAUUAAGAUGAACUAGUGUUUAUUCCAUCCAUAAUUGAUAACGGUAGCUAUUUGUGCAAACUUCUCUGAUUGAAAAGUGCCUCAUGCAGGUUCAUGAGUUUUCUCGGAGAACACUACAUUCCCUACUGCAUGCAUGUUUUGUGGACUCAAUGUGUGGCUUGUGCCACAGAAAGUUGCCCUUCUGUACGUCACUGACCCCUAUG